CACGUAGGGUGCGAGCGUUGUCCGGAAUUAUUGGGCGUAAAGAGCUCGUAGGCGGUGUGUCACGUCGGCCGUGAAAACCUGCAGCUUAACUGUGGGCGUGCGGUCGAUACGGGCAUCACUGGAGUUCGGCAGGGGAGACUGGAAUUCCUGGUGUAGCGGUGAAAUGCGCAGAUAUCAGGAGGAACACCGGUGGCGAAGGCGGCAUCCUGGACCAACACUGACGCUGAGGAGCGAAAGCCAGGGGAGCAAACGGG
This 254-nucleotide ribosomal RNA is filed under the name uncultured bacterium. RNAcentral's name for it is "partial 16S ribosomal RNA". It matches the Rfam family "Bacterial small subunit ribosomal RNA", at positions 524 to 776 of the family's 1533-position model. The record is from RNAcentral.